RNAcentral lists this small RNA (428 nucleotides) under Pongo abelii (Sumatran orangutan). RNAcentral describes it as "retained intron". The record is from RNAcentral. Lineage: Eukaryota; Metazoa; Chordata; Mammalia; Primates; Hominidae.
UCUUGUCGUCCUGUAAAGACCCAGCCCUUCCCUCCUCCAUGAAACCUGGAUUCCUCCAAGGCGAAGACCCACCUCUCUGGGGUCUCAGCCUCCAGCGCUGACAUCCUAGGCCGCCUCGACAGCCAUCGAGUUGAUCAAGGACCUGGUCGGUUACGAUGUGCGCCAGGCGCUGCUCAAGGGCCUCGUGGAGCUGCUGAUACCGUCGGUCAAGGAGAACUCCAAACUGCAGGCCAAGAUCCUCAGUGGUAGGGACCUGCUCAAAUGGGGCUGCCUGGGCCACGGGAGGGGGGUCUCUUGCCUCACGGCCGCCCCCUCCUCAGACCCCUCGGUUCUCCAGCUCACCCCCAGCCUGCCGAUGUUUUUGCAGCAGGCCGCGGCCGCCAAGGCCAUCGGGUAAGCGGGCAGGGGUUAGUGGGUAGCUGCAGCAA